UCCACUAACAUUCUCCUUAGUUUUAUUUUAUUUUUCUCUCUGAAGAUGGCUGAUUUUGGGAGCAAUCUAAUCAAAAAUAUAAUACGAACUCUUGUUAUGGCUCCGGUGUAUACUACAGCAGGAUAUGUUGCAUACAGAACUGGACGCUGGUUCUAUAAUCAUGAGAUGAGGAGACUUGCUAUAGUGAGUUCUACAGAGGCGCAAAGGUGGGGAGGAAAAAAGGUCAAUGAUCAACCACCUAAAUGGCGCCCUUUCUGGGCUUGGUGAUUGUUUGUUUUUAAUAAUAUAAUGUAAACCUAUUUUGAGAUAGAUUCAAGAUUUGAAUUAUAUGGAUUCGAAUUCA
Solanum stenotomum is the source of this 343-nucleotide long non-coding RNA. RefSeq lists it as uncharacterized. NCBI's taxonomy places the organism in Eukaryota, Viridiplantae, Streptophyta, Magnoliopsida, Solanales, Solanaceae. The transcript is spliced from 4 exons. The record is from RefSeq and is a predicted model, not a curated record.